This 219-nucleotide ribosomal RNA is filed under the name Triticum aestivum (bread wheat). RNAcentral's name for it is "partial small subunit ribosomal RNA". The record is from RNAcentral. Lineage: Eukaryota; Viridiplantae; Streptophyta; Magnoliopsida; Poales; Poaceae.
AUGGCUAAUCUCCUGCAUUGGGAUCUCAACCCGAGCCGCCAGGUGGCCAAACAGGUUCGUUCAAAGUUCGGAUCCACGGUCCACUUUGCCAACUCUCCCCAUGACAAGGAGUUUUUCUUGGUGGUCUCUUUCUCCUAUGCCUCCUUCCGACUGACAAAUGAAUCUAUUGGCCUGGUUCUUCACUGUUGCAUUGGUGGUUCUGCACUGGUUUCAACAUAA